This 429-nucleotide ribosomal RNA is filed under the name Verrucomicrobiota bacterium. RNAcentral's name for it is "Verrucomicrobia bacterium partial 16S ribosomal RNA". It matches the Rfam family "Bacterial small subunit ribosomal RNA", at positions 355 to 776 of the family's 1533-position model. Lineage: Bacteria; Pseudomonadati; Verrucomicrobiota. The record is from RNAcentral.
UAGGGAAUCUUCCGCAAUGGACGAAAGUCUGACGGAGCAACGCCGCGUGAGUGAAGAAGGCUUUCGGUUCGUAAAACUCUGUUGUUAGGGAAGAAAAAAUGUAUAGUAACUAUAUACAAAAGAGACGGUACCUAACCAGAAAGCCACGGCUAACUACGUGCCAGCAGCCGCGGUAAUACGUAGGUGGCAAGCGUUGUCCGGAAUUAUUGGGCGUAAAGCGCGCGCAGGUGGUUUAGAAAGUCUGAUGUGAAAGCCCACGGCUCAACCGUGGAGGGUCAUUGGAAACUAAUAAACUUGAGUGCAGGAGAGAAAAGUGGAAUUCCUAGUGUAGCGGUGAAAUGCGUAGAGAUUAGGAGGAACACCGGUGGAGAAAGCGGCUUUUUGGCCUGCAACUGACACUGAGGCGCGAAAGCGUGGGGAGCAAACAGG